CCACACUCCCAGCCCCUUGGGAAAGGGGCUGUGGGGCCGCCCCGCCGCGGCCACCCCCGGGGAAAAGUAGGUCAUGGCGGCGCGGCGGCGGCUCAGGGGUUAAGGCCGCUCCCCCCGCGACGGAGCCGCCGCGGCGGGACACACCCCCGCGAUGUAUCAACUUGUCCGCCGUGGCAAAAGUUCAGGCCCGGCGCUCGCCCAUUGGCCCGCCGCCGCGUGACGUGCGGCCCCGCCACCGCCCAUUGGCCCGGGAGCCGCGUCGGCACCGCCCACUCCCCCCCACCUCCUCGAGCGGCGCGGCGUGCCCGUGAAUGAAAGACAUUCCGCGAGCCGCACCGCCCCGGGUCCUAGCGCCCGCCGCCGCCGCGGGGGCUCAGGGCGGCGGGGAGCGGCCGCCGGCGGGGGCCGGCGUGUCCCGGGGACUCGGGUGGGCGCCGGCAGCGCGGGGGGAGCGGCGGCCCCGAGGGAAGGACGGCGGCCCCGUGGGGGAGGCGCGGCGCCGCGUCCCGCCCCACGCGGGGGAACGGCGGCAGAGGGAAGCGGGAGUUCAGGCGGCCUCACUCCCCCACGUGGGAUUUCCCCGGGCGCAUCAGCCGCUGCCGGGGGCCGGGACACGCUCCGGACCAAGCGACUCCGGCAGCUCCCGGGGGGUCCGGAGCCCCCACGCCGCGGGUGGGAGAGGGGCGUCCUGCGUGGGAACCUGCUAUUGAACCCAGCAGGAGCAGGGAUCAGCCUGGGACCCGACCGGGGAACUUCACUUAGCAAAAAGAAACCUUGGCCAUUUAUUUCCCAGCAGUUGAGCACCCCCCCAAAAAAAACCCAAACCAAACCAAUAAAUAUAUUUCAUCCAACAAUUUUGAGACAA
This is a long non-coding RNA of Columba livia (rock pigeon), 865 nucleotides long. RefSeq lists it as uncharacterized. Lineage: Eukaryota; Metazoa; Chordata; Aves; Columbiformes; Columbidae. The record is from RefSeq and is a predicted model, not a curated record. The transcript is spliced from 2 exons.